CCUACGGGUGGCAGCAGUGAGGAAUAUUGGUCAAUGGACGAGAGUCUGAACCAGCCAAGUAGCGUGAAGGAUGACUGCCCUAUGGGUUGUAAACUUCUUUUAUAUGGGAAUAAAACGUUCCACGUGUGGGAUUUUGUAUGUACCAUAUGAAUAAGGAUCGGCUAACUCCGUGCCAGCAGCCGCGGUAAUACGGAGGAGCCGAGCGUUAUCCGGAUUUAUUGGGUUUAAAGGGAGCGUAGGUGGAUUGUUAAGUCAGUUGUGAAAGUUUGGGGCUCAACCGUAAAAUUGCAGUUGAAACUGGCAGUCUUGAGUACAGUAGAGGUGGGCGGAAUUCGUGGUGUAGCGGUGAAAUGCUUAGAUAUGACGAAGAACACCGAUUGCGAAGGCAGUUCACUGGACUGCAACUGACACUGAGGCGCGAAAGUGUGGGGAUCAAACAGGAUUAGAUACCCGUGUAGUC
This 460-nucleotide ribosomal RNA is filed under the name uncultured bacterium. RNAcentral's name for it is "partial 16S ribosomal RNA". It matches the Rfam family "Bacterial small subunit ribosomal RNA", at positions 338 to 795 of the family's 1533-position model. The record is from RNAcentral.